Molecule: non-coding RNA, 1926 nt
Organism: Paramisgurnus dabryanus
Lineage: Eukaryota; Metazoa; Chordata; Actinopteri; Cypriniformes; Cobitidae
Source: RefSeq, a predicted model, not a curated record
AAAAGCCUUACAUGUUGUGUUCAUGCUUGUGUUGAGGUUUAACGUGCCAUGUGAGCAUACUUUCUGACGCCAAUGUAUUAUGACUUAUUUGGACUCAGAUGCUAUCAAAUGCCUAGAAUGCAGAUAAUGUUUUAUGAAACAGGAUAUGAAAGGAAACAGAGCUGUGAGAAACCUUGUGGAAGAUGUACAGCAAAAACAGAAGACCAAAAAAGUGAAAGACCUGCGACAGAUAGCCAGGAAUGGGCACAAGAUGUUGUACUCCGAUCAUGAGGAACCUCUCAAACUGUUUUGUGAGGAUGAUCAGAGGUUGGUUUGCCUCAUCUGCAGAGAGGGUGAGAAACACAGCGGACACAGUUUCAAACUUGUUAAAGAGGCUAUGAAGGAAAAUGAGGAAAGGUCCAAAUAUCUUAAAGAAAGAUUGCAAGCUCAGUUUUAAAAAAAUGCACACCUUCUUGAUGGAAAAGGAGGAAAAGAUGAAGAAGCACCUCCAGGAGGCGGCACACAGCUCUGAGGUCAAAAUGUAUCACGUUUGGGAGAGUUGCAAGGAAAAGCAAAUAACCAAUUGUCUGUUAUGGAGUCAGAUAGAGAUUAACCAACCUGAGGGAUUUUUUACAGUAGUGGAGUGAAAAAUGUCUCCCUUUGGUUGACAAAAUCACCCUCAGUGAGAAUAAUUACAUCACACCUGCCUUUCAAGCUAAUAUGUUUUUUUAAAGGUUUAGGUCAAGACUUCAUGAUAACAGGUGAUAAACCACUUCACUAUUGGCCCUUAUGAAAGUUACUGCCACAGUUUGUUUGUAGAGACGAUUCUAAACUAUGUUAAACAAGACCUGGAAUUGUCUAUCAGAAAAGACAGCUAUCUGCAGUCUGGAGGCCAAGAAUACUUUGCCAGACAUCAGGCGUUUCACAAUACUUAUAAGAACAGUAAUGUGAAGGAUUAGCAGAUAAACUGGUUGGGUGUACUGGGAAGUUAUCACUAUUAGUAAAAGAAAAAAGUCUGUAUGCUGAAAGGGGUGAUGAAGAAACCUUAAAUGUCAACCAGGUUAUUCCCAGAAGAGUUGGAGUUUACUGAGAGAUGUCAGGUUGUUUACGUCUCUCAUUCUUGCAAUGUGGUGUGGAGAUAAAUAGAUUAUUUUUUUAUUAAUAUUUUUUAUUUAUUAAUAAAAUUAUACAUAAAGUGCACAUUCAGUGCACUUCUGCUUAAAAUUAUAAGUUACAUUUAUCUUCAGUGUAUGCGGCAUAGUGCUGGCUUUAUAAUGUUGAUAUUGUUAACAUUUGAAUUGAUAUAUGAAUACUUGUUAACCCAUAAAACAUAUAGCAUUCACUUUGCUUUUUAAAUGGCUUUAUAUGUCACUUCUGAAGUAGCUUUAAUGCUAACUAUAAAUAACUUUGCAACUACAUGUCAACUAACUUUCAAUAAUUUGCAACUAUACGUCAACUAACUGUCAUUAAAGUAUUAGUAGCCUGUAAGGGUUAGGGAAGAGGUUUGGGUUAGUGGAAUAAGUUGACAUGCACCUGCAAAGAUAGUUAUAGACAGUUGAAUGUCUGUUGAGAUAUCAUCACAAUAAAGUGUUAGUAGAUAUUAAGCAGACAUAUUACUAAUUCUCUAAAGAUUGAUAGUUGAUAAGUAGUUGCAAAGUUACUUAUAAUUAAUAAAAUGUCUAAAGUGGACUAUUGAAAUAAAGUGUUACCAAUUUAAUACUGUUAUCAUAACAUAUCUGUUAAAGCGUCUAUUUAUAUAUAUAGUCAAAUGCAUAUAAAUUAAAGGCUUGUAUGUCUGUUUUAAAUAAACUGUGAAGUUGUGUUUUUAAAUGCUGUGCAUUUUUGAAUGUAUAGAGUUUAUAAUGGAAGACAUUUUUUAGGUAUUUUAAAUGUAAAAAUAUGUUUGUCUUUGCUGAAGGUCACACUUCCAUACGGCAAAAAAAUUAU